CGGGUGAGUAAUACAUAGGAACGUGUCUUCUAGUGGGGGAUAACUGCCCGAAAGGGCAGCUAAUACCGCAUGAGACCUGAGGGUGAAAGCGGGGGAUCGCAAGACCUCGCGCUGGAAGAGCGGCCGAUGUCCGAUUAGCUAGUUGGUGAGGUAAAGGCUCACCAAGGCGACGAUCGGUAGCUGGUCUGAGAGGACGACCAGCCACACUGGGACUGAGACACGGCCCAG
RNAcentral lists this ribosomal RNA (228 nucleotides) under uncultured bacterium. RNAcentral's name for it is "partial 16S ribosomal RNA". It matches the Rfam family "Bacterial small subunit ribosomal RNA", at positions 103 to 334 of the family's 1533-position model. The record is from RNAcentral.